AUUCCGACUGUAUGGACAUCGUAUAGUUAUGGCACCUACCGCAAUAUGGAGAAGUAUAACAACAACUAUUGCUAGCAUAUUUAAAUCAUCGUCACAUAUCAAGAACUUUACAAUACUUAUUAUCUUAUACACUUUUACGGGUCUAAUAGCUGAUACAAAUAUUCAACGCUCCUUUCUUUGUCGGCAAUGCGGUCAUACAGUUGUAUUUGCCAAUGAUCUUACUAGGGUUGCUAGCGACAUGUCGCUGAGACAGAGAAACGAUAGUCUUCUGGGAAGGAAGGGAACAUUGAUACAACUCUUACAAAACCCUGCCGGGGCUAGAUUCGAGGUGAUUACAUCAAAGAGAGCUCAUGUAACCAAAUCUACGGUGACUGUAAGCUCAGACACUUGGUUUACUGGUUUUUCGUGGAGAAUUGCAACUUGCCCAAAGUGCCAUUUUCAUUUAGGAUGGAGCUACGAACCUCUCUUCUAUAAAGGUGGAUUAGCCGAUUCCAAAGAUACUUUUUAUGCCUUAAUCUUAGAUAAUUUAUUGGAUGAAACUUAUGCCGAUAAUCUAAUUAUAACUCCAAAAGUUUAUCAGAGUUGAAAAAAAGGUGAAUUUUGAAUAAUCUACAAUUGAACUGCAAAAUUACAGUAUACAAUAUAUGAUGAGAAUGCCAAAAUAGUAAUUUAUUUCUCUUGUUACAUCCCAAUUCAAUUAAAUAAUACAAGAUAUUUAAAAGGAUGAAAACGUUACUAUAGAAACAGAGAAAAGAAAAUGAUAAAAAAAAACAGUUAUCUUCCAUCAAAUUAAUUAGCUGGCUUUACAGGUUUCUGCUUCUUUUCUUUUUUUUUAAAAAAACAAAGGUUUUCGGAAAGCAUUUGUACAUUUUUAAGAAAUUUCAAUAUUAUUUCGAUAUAAAAAUCAUAAUAAAAGCAUAAAC
This 923-nucleotide unclassified non-coding RNA is filed under the name Dimorphilus gyrociliatus. RNAcentral's name for it is "cULT domain-containing protein". The record is from RNAcentral. Lineage: Eukaryota; Metazoa; Annelida; Polychaeta; Dinophilidae.